Molecule: ribosomal RNA, 494 nt
Filed under: uncultured bacterium
Lineage: Bacteria
Description: bacterial SSU rRNA
Rfam family: Bacterial small subunit ribosomal RNA
Source: RNAcentral
AUUGAACGCUGGCGGAAUGCUUUACACAUGCAAGUCGAGCGGCAGCGCGGGGCAACCUGGCGGCGAGCGGCGAACGGGUGAGUAAUACAUCGGAACGUGCCCAGACGUGGGGGAUAACUACUCGAAAGAGUGGCUAAUACCGCAUACGAUCUAAGGAUGAAAGCGGGGGAUCGCAAGACCUCGCGCGUUUGGAGCGGCCGAUGGCAGAUUAGGUAGUUGGUGGGGUAAAGGCUUACCAAGCCCGCGAUCUGUAGCUGGUCUGAGAGGAUGAUCAGCCACACUGGGACUGAGACACGGCCCAGACUCCUACGGGAGGCAGCAGUGGGGAAUUUUGGACAAUGGGCGCAAGCCUGAUCCAGCCAUUCCGCGUGCAGGAUGAAGGCCUUCGGGUUGUAAACUGUCUUUUGUACGGUAACGAAACGGCGAGCUCUAAUACAGUUUGCUAAUGACGGUACCGUAAGAAUAAGACACCGGCUAACUACGUGCCAGCACGG